GCAUAAAAGGAAGUAAAACAUUGACUAAAUGUUAUCCAAUCAAAUAGUGGCAAAAUUAUAAUUAAUAUUGUCAUUGUCAAUGUAAAGAUUUUUUAAAUUAUCUUUUUCUUCAUAAUUCAACAUUCAUAGGCACAACCUCAGUGUGGUUUUGGUAUGUACUCAAUAUGGUCAUGUAAACAAAUACUAUCUACUCAUUUGCGGGGUAUUAAGGAUGGCAACGCUGUUUUUAAGGACACGGAUUACUAACUGCCUUUGAAUAUAGUUCAGAAACUCUGAAGAUUCUGGUCUACUAAGAGAUACUGUUCUCAGACACAAAAACUGGUCUUUUUCACAGCCUUCAUGGACUUUUUGCAGAAAAUUUGGGGCAAGGCAGAAGACCUGUAAAUGCCACCCAGGUGGAACAGACUUCAAGAGCUGGCCUAGGUUUGCG
RNAcentral lists this long non-coding RNA (430 nucleotides) under Equus caballus (horse). Its description in RNAcentral is "lncRNA (ENSECAG00000054090.1)". The record is from RNAcentral. Lineage: Eukaryota; Metazoa; Chordata; Mammalia; Perissodactyla; Equidae.